AUGAAGAGGCUGCUUUGUUCCCUGGUUGUGUUGCUGUGCACCCAAGUUUUCUGGGUGAAAGGGCAGCAAGUGAAGCAGAGUCCUGUGUCCUUGGUUCUGCAGGAGGGAGAGAGUGCAGAGCUGAAGUGCAACUUUUCCAUCACUGCAACCCAAAUGCAGUGGUUUCACCAAAGCCCUGGGGGACACCUCAUCAGCCUGUUUUACAAUCCUUCUGGAACAAAGCAGAGUGGAAGACUGAAGUCCAUGACAGUCACCCAGGAACGCUGCAGCUCUUUGUCCAUUUCCUCCUCUCAGAGCACAGACUCAGGCACUUAUUUCUGUGCUGUAGAUUUUGGCUCCAAAGGUUCAGGAAUUUGGUUCAUCUCCAAUUCUCAAUAUACACUUCCUCCUAGAGCAUAA
Microtus ochrogaster (prairie vole) is the source of this 399-nucleotide non-coding RNA. The record is from the annotation of a RefSeq genome assembly. Lineage: Eukaryota; Metazoa; Chordata; Mammalia; Rodentia; Cricetidae.